AGAGCAAACGGUGCUCCUUGGAGUUGAGCGGCGCGACGGUCCUGCAGCAGCUAGCCUGGGAUGUACCCACAGCUCACCGGGGAGUCCGGGCCACACGUCAGCUGGAUCUUGAAUGAGAUGAAGACGGGGAGAAAGGGCCUUCCGGACAAAGGGCUUACGCCCUGGAUAAAGGGCGUGGAGGGGCGUGGCACGUUCAGUCUGGACACAGCAUAAAGUGCAUUGGAGAGAGGCGGGAGACAGGAUGGAAAGGAGGGUGGGAAGAGCUAUGAAGCUCCCCAGGGCCUUGCUAACGCGUUUGGACUUUAUCCCGCGCCAGACUUUUUAAAGGUGGUAAGUAGUUUACAGAUGUGCGUUUUGAGGCCAGCACAUUUUGUUGUUGUCGUUUGUUUGUUUGUUUUUCUUUGAGACGGGGUCUCACUCCCAGGCUGGAGUGCAAUAACGUGAUCUCAGCUCACUGCAACCUCCGCCUCCCAGGUUCAAGCGAUUCCCCUGCCUCAACCUGUCGAAUAGCUGGGGCUACAGGCGCCCACCACCACGCCUGGCUAAUUUUUGUAUUUUUAGUGGAGACGGGGUUUCACCACGUUGGCCAGGCUGGUCUCGAACUCCUGACUUCAGGUGAUCCUCCCGCCAAGGCCUCCCAAAAUCCUGGGAUUACGGCCAUCGUGCCGGGCCAGCAGCACAGCGUCUUAAGCAAUUUUGGAUAUGAAUACCUUCGAGACGAGCUUGCGCUCCCACAGACCCCACCACUCCUACAGUCUGUAAUUACCCCCAGCUGCACCCAUAUGCGUAGCUUCCCUGGUCCAGAGGGACGUGCGUGUGUGACCCUGCAGGAUAGUGGGGUGGCCCUGCAUGGCAUGGCUGCCAGUGCUAAGAGGGGUGUGCCGCCAGCCUCUGAUCCCUCUCACCGGCGGGCCCCCCAUCAUCAUCACUAUAUGAUGACCUGAGGCGUCCAGGCUCCCGAGGAAAGCCUGCCGCCCUGGUUCCUACAAGGGACGCCUAAACACAGAGUCCUAAACACAGAGUCCUAAACACAUGCAGGGUUGGAGGGAGACUGACGAACUCAACUACCAGCCUGCAGUCGGCAGCCAUCAGCGGAUUGCAGGUACCCCGCGUGCGUGUCUCGGCUACAGUGCGGAAGACAAGAGGCCUUAGGAAGUGGGAACGGGCGCCAUCUGGUGGUCAUCUCUGGAGUGACAGCAGAGAACUGGAACAUAUUUUAUAUUUUGUUUCCACUGCUCCAUGACUUGACUAAAGCAGAAACAAUUCGGAGAGUACUGUAGUAUUAAAUACCUAAGGGCCACACCAGGCCAGAAAGCAACAAAAAAGAAAUGCUAAAAAGAAGUUCUUCAGAGAGGGAUCCAAGAAGGAAUAAGUGAAGGGCGGUGCUCCAGGUGUGAAUGGAGACGACUUCGAGCUCACUGUGCUGAGAAACUGCUUUUCAGAGGGCUUCUACAGAGCCCACAGCUCAUCUUCUAGAAGUCAUCUAUAGCUACUGUCAGUUUCUAGGCUUCCAAGGACACCCUUCAGCCUACUGCAAUGCAGCUUCUUACCCUACUCCUCCAUGGACAGAUGACAUCCAUUUCUGAAAUCCAGGGGCCACACUUCAAUCUAUCUCAUGAGGUAUCUCUGCUUGGUGGACACCGAUGUUCUCCCUUCCUGAAGACUCUGCUUCUCUGACUUCUGUGAGCAUAGCCUCUUCUGGUCACUCGUUCUCUGGCAUAGACUUCUUCUCUGUGGGCUGGCAGCGAACAGUGGGGCCUUCAGCAUCAUUAUUGCUCAGAUCUCUUUAAUGUUUGGCUUAAAUGAAGACAGCUGGAUUCUCUUCUUCUGCAUUCAAUCUGUUAGGAUGUGCUGUUUGCUGAAAGCAUGAAAAUCCUAGCACCUCACCUCACCUCUUGGGGACCUUGGACCGCACUUUGAGAACCAUUAGUUUUUCUUUCAGCUCUACAUCAUUCACAGCCGGGCCUGGUGGCUCAUGGCUGUAAUCCCAGGACUUUGGGAGGCUGAGGUGGGUGGAUCACCUGAGGCCAGCAGUUUGAGACCAGCCUGGGCAACAUGGUGAAACCCCGUCUCUACUAAAUAUACAAAAAUUAGCCAGGCGUCAUGGCACCCUCCUGUAGUCCCAGCUACUCAGGAGGCUGAGGCAGGAGAAU
Molecule: long non-coding RNA, 2153 nt
Organism: Homo sapiens (human)
Lineage: Eukaryota; Metazoa; Chordata; Mammalia; Primates; Hominidae
Source: Ensembl